UACGAAGGGGGCUAGCGUUGCUCGGAAUCACUGGGCGUCAAGGGCGCGUAGGCGGCCAUUCAAGUCGGAGGUGAAAGCCCAGGGCUCAACCCUGGAAUUGCCUUCGAUACUGUUUGGCUAGAGACCGGAAGAGGUAAGUGGAACUGCGAGUGUAGAGGUGAAAUUCGUAGAUAUUCGCAAGAACACCAGUGGCGAAGGCGGCUUACUGGUCCGGUUCUGACGCUGAGGCGCGAAAGCGUGGGGAGCAAACAGG
This 253-nucleotide ribosomal RNA is filed under the name uncultured bacterium. RNAcentral describes it as "partial 16S ribosomal RNA". It matches the Rfam family "Bacterial small subunit ribosomal RNA", at positions 524 to 776 of the family's 1533-position model. The record is from RNAcentral.